This 576-nucleotide ribosomal RNA is filed under the name uncultured eukaryote. RNAcentral's name for it is "SSU rRNA". It matches the Rfam family "Eukaryotic small subunit ribosomal RNA", at positions 205 to 795 of the family's 1831-position model. The record is from RNAcentral.
UUUGUUACUUCAAACCAAUCGGACUUCGGUYUKACAUCAAGUGAUAUUGAACAAUUUAGCUGAUCGCACGGUCUAAGAACCGGCGACAUAUCCUUCAAAUGUCUGCCUUAUCAACUUUCGAUGGUAGAUUAUGCGCCUACCAUGGUUGUAACGGGUAACGGAGAAUCAGGGUUUGAUUCCGGARAGGGAGCCUGAGAAACGGCUACCACAUCCAAGGAAGGCAGCAGGCACSCAAAUUACCCACUCCCGGCACGGGGAGGUAGUGACGAAAAAUAACAAGCUGGUCUCAAUGAGUUCCAGCAUUGUAAUGGGAACAAUUUAAAUCUUUUAUCGAGGAUCUAUUGGAGGGCAAGUCUGGUGCCAGCAGCCGCGGUAAUUCCAGCUCCAAUAGCGUAUAUUAAAGUUGUUGCGGUUAAAAAGCUCGUARUUGGAUCUAGGAUUAGGGCUACGGUCGUUCAGCUUGGACGUACUGUAUGCCCSACUCCUUUUCUCUAGUAUUCGAUUGUUUGCUCUUAAAWGAGUGACUUUAGUUGCUGGAACUUUUACCUUGAAAAAAWUUGAAGUGCUCAAAGCACG